Molecule: long non-coding RNA, 1220 nt
Organism: Apis mellifera (honey bee)
Lineage: Eukaryota; Metazoa; Arthropoda; Insecta; Hymenoptera; Apidae
Exons: 2
Source: RefSeq, a predicted model, not a curated record
AUUACAUUUUGAAAUUUAAUUGGAAUCAUUGCAAUUAUAAUUUACUCGUAUCCACGUAUCUCUUAGUAUUUCAAAUCCUAGAUAACUAUAUUAAAAUCUAAAUUUUGUUGGCACAAGCAACUUUCCAUUCGAAAUUUUUAUAUUCCGUAUCGAGAACUGUGAAAAAUGUAAAUAUGGCCACCUAAACAUAGACAUCCGUUCGAACAGUGCUCUUGCAAAAGUAUACAAUUUCACAAAUUAAACGAGAUAUUCCAUCUGAUUUAGUACACCCGGUAUAUUAUUCUAAAGUUGCACAAUGCCUCUAACAUUAGGAAAAAUAUAUAGAAAGAGAAAUAAUUACCUUUAUCCACAUUCAAAUUUCUGCAUUGCAUAAUUUUGAAAAAAAAUGGAAAAGUCGAACAAUUCCCAUUUCCUCUUGAGCUCAGUUCAUGAAUAUGUAUUAUGUGCCUCUAAUAUUUACAACAUAGUUAUAUAUUUAUUCGAAACUCUGUCAUUACACACAGUUACCAUUACCUGGAAAAUAUUUUACAUUUAUCCCACUACAAUUAUACAGUACUGUAACUAUUUGCGAUAAAUCUCGUUGUCGCGAUAAAUCCGGCUAGAAAAUUGCUCGUAUUCGACUCGAGUGUAAAAUUGCUGUCAAGCCUUUCGAACGAGUACAGCUACUUUUAACAUAAAAUUUACUUCUAAUCGGCCACAACUGGAUUCGUUCGAACGAUGACUAUCGCAGGAUAAAGAUACCUUAAAUGGAUCAUUAACGUCGAUAUCGGGAAAUCAAUGAAGGAUUAGACGAUAGAUCGUUCAAAUUCCCCUCGCUCGUUGCGUCACACACAGUCAUCAAUACGUCGAAAAUAUAAUUAUUCUCGCGGUUCUCGCUUGCCAUAUGUUGCUUUUAACAACGUACAAGCAUAAUCUCUCGAGGAAGUGGUUUUUAGAGUCGAAAGGUGCUUCUGCUUGAUCUUUCACCUUCUAUCUAUCCGUUGAAAUUCUGUUAGAGAGAAUAGAAGAAUGUAAAUAUUAUAUCCGCUUAAAUGCAAGGGAUUAGGAGAGGAGCAAGUUUAAUUUUGUGAACAUUAUGAAAUUGAGAAGAACAAUUGGUAAAUAUUUUGUAUAUUUAGAAAGUAUUUAACCAAGGAUAUUUAAGGAUAGGAUAGAUUUCACGGUUCGUGGCUUCUUGACAUCACGCUCUUCUCCCUUUAUUUUGAACUCAUUUGGCUACA